This 72-nucleotide transfer RNA is filed under the name Anaerolineae bacterium. RNAcentral's name for it is "tRNA-Thr". It matches the Rfam family "tRNA". From Rfam's summary of the family: Transfer RNA (tRNA) molecules are approximately 80 nucleotides in length. Their secondary structure includes four short double-helical elements and three loops (D, anti-codon, and T loops). The record is from RNAcentral. Lineage: Bacteria; Bacillati; Chloroflexota; Anaerolineae. RNAcentral also lists the same sequence under 4 other names.
GCCACCCUAGCUCAACGGCAGAGCAAUCGCUUCGUAAGCGAUAGGUUAAGGGUUCAAAUCCCUUGGGUGGCU